RNAcentral lists this long non-coding RNA (558 nucleotides) under Brassica napus (rape). RNAcentral describes it as "long non-coding RNA (BNAP_LNC011891)". The record is from RNAcentral. Lineage: Eukaryota; Viridiplantae; Streptophyta; Magnoliopsida; Brassicales; Brassicaceae.
UGGUUGGACUUGGACCUUUUUUUAGUAUUUCGUUCCACAUCUCUCUGGUACGACUAAUCCCUCCAUGAAUACUCACCGCCAGUGCUGUCGAUACAUUUGUUCCUCUCUUCUUGCUAAUUAUUUGAUGUUUGCUUCGAAUUUCCUUUCUGUUUGCAACCUUUAGUUCUCGUAUUUUGUUCCUCACUUCAAGAAAUGUAACAGUCGGAGGCGUAGCUCGGAACCAUAUAACCCUGGUGAGAUGGAGACAUGUUUCUCCGUUGGGUUCAUCGCCAUGGAUUCGGCUUAUUGAGAGGAGCUCUUCGGUCGUACCCUGGAAAGUUGAUCACAAAAAAAGAGAGAGGAGCUCUUCGGUUUUGACUGGAAGACGAAGUAGUUUAUAAAAUAAGGAGAUAGAGAGGGAGGUGAAACGAAAGACAUGAAGUGUGUAUUAAAGAGAACGAUUGAUUGAUGGCAGAGAAGGCUUAGUAAUGGAGAUCGCAAGUAGAGAAAACGGAGAAGACGAAGAGGAUGGAGAGAUUCGUUGGACGGCUAUCGGAUGUUAGGGGUUUCUGUUUAGUG